GGGUAAGGAGUCUUGGGGAGGAGAGUGUUGACAUGUUGUAAAGUUAGAUUACGGUGAUCAAUUCGAGUGAAAUCGAGGUCAUGCAGAAAAUAGCUGCACCUUCCUUGCCUUCCAACAGGCCGAAGCACCCAGGGCUCGUUACCGGCCUCGGGACUGGGCCUCGCUCUGCCCAGACGUUUGCUUUGGGAGGUGAGACCCACUGGCAGAAAUUGCAAAGGAGGUGAGGUCUGAGAAAGGACCCCUGGAUUCCCUCUCAAUUCUGCUUCCAUCUGGAGGUACCCUGUCUCCCUCAUGGGAGCAGAGCUUGAGCUCAGGAUCUUUCUAAAGAUCGGGAGGCCUGAGGGAAGGGGCAUGCCUCUUGGGUCAGAUUGGGACCUUCUUCGGGCCAAGAAACCAUGUCUCUGCAUCAUGCUGGGAGUAUGCUGCGGGCACAAGGAGAAACUUUCUUUCCCGGUAUCCCCCCCUCGCCCUCGCCCUAAUGGUCCCCUCCCCAGGGCCAGCAGCACCGCCAGCCCUUCCAGGAGCUACGGACAGACAGACAGCUGCUGGCCACAAGAAGAUGCCGCCAGUGGAGUCUUGUGCCGAUCCAGGUGGACUCGUGUGUCCUGGCCUCUGGAGAAGACAGUGAGGGUGGACGGCCAUCUGGGGCCCGGAUCCUAGGAGCACCCCCAUGUCUGCUGCUGGGCAAGUGGGCCGAUCUCUGCUGGCGGCUCACUCAGCCCCCAACAGCUCAGCUCCCUCCGCAGGGGGAAAGCAGCCAAGGCCACAGGCCUGCAUCUGGCUGGAGAACACUCAGGGCUGGCAGCACGCUUGCUAAGCCCUGGCUCUUCCCCUCACUUCCCUCUUGCGAAGUUUCCAGGGGAAACUAUCUAGGGGACAGACUUCCCAGACUGUGUAGACGUCACACAAGACGUCUUCUCUUCUCAGACAUUUUAGAGUUCAUGUUUCAGCUCUGUCACUUCCUGUGUGUGACCUUGGCUUUGCCAGGUCUCAGCUGUCAUCUGUGAAUUGAGGAUAAAUAUCUACCUGCAAGGAUUAACUAAGAUGAUGCCUACAAGCCAGCUCUUAGCAGUGCCUGGUAUACGGGAGGCACUCCCUAAAAUGUUUUUAUUAUUAUUGUUGUUGUUGUUGUUGUUGGUGGUGGUGGUGGUGGUGGUGGUGGUGGUAUUCCUUUAUGCUGUGCUUCUGGAAGCUUCUAGUAGGCUGGCUACAACACAAGGAUAUGGGAUCUGUGCAGACACAGGGUAUGUUUGAGGCCUGCUUUAUCAGAGGAGAGAAGAAUGAGGCCCAGGGCCACCCUCGCAGGGCCUCUAAAGGACAGAGCUGUCAGCUGGAAGAGGCCUCGCUGUAAUCCAGCCACACAACCCUCCCCGUGGGCGUCGCCGUGUUUAUCAGAUCUAUUCAGGAGCUGGUCUGAGCGGGUUCCUGCUUCUUAUGUAAGACACUAACAAUAUCACCAGGUGGUUUUGAGGAUUUGGUGAAGCCUCAGUGAGGAAACGCAUGUGAAAGAGGUUUCCCAGAUGAGGACAGCAUCCCCCGGGAUAGUUGCAGAUGCUCCGACUGGACCACGUAGUCUUUCCAUCACUCGUAGCCUUGGUGACUCACACGCACCAGGAGAGAAGUAGCGAGCAUAGAUUGAGUUACAAAAUCAUCUUCAAAACGUGCUUUAAAACUUUUCCCCGGCAUUUGUGUCAGCAAAAUAUUUCCCACUUUUCUGUGGUUCUGCUCCUUCUUGUUUUCCUCUGCAGUUAUGAAACCAGACAGCUUCUUGGGAGAUGCAUCACUGAGGUGACUUAUGGCCAUAAGAAACCCCAAAUUCACUUCAACGAUGACAAAAUCCAUCAUUUCCCAGAUCUGCUGAUCCAGAUGUCGUAGGCAAGCUUCAGGAUCAGCUGGAUCCAGUCUCUCCACUCCAUUUCACCAAAUCCCUUUCACUGGGUUUUCCCCCACGCCUGGGCUUCAGGGUCGAGCUGGUUCGUCUUGGAGUAAAACGGCUGCAGUGAGUAAGUGGCCAGCAGCUGGAAGCAGCCCAGGUCCAUCAAGAGAUAAAUGGAUAAACAACAUGGUGAACGUACAGAACAGUGGAAUGUUAUUCAGCCACAUAAAAGAAGGAAAUCUGAACACAUGCUACAGCAGGGAUGAAGCCUGGAGACACCGUAAAUGAAAUAAGCCAGUCACUGAAUGACAAAUACUGCGUGAUUCCACUUACCUGAGGAAACUGGACUAGGGAAAUUCAGAGACAAAAAAAUAGAGCGGCGGUUGCCAAGGGCUGGGCUGGGGCGGUGAGGUGGGGGCAGCAAUUAUUUAAUGGGGGUCAGAGUUUCAGUCCGAGAAGAUGAAAAAAAGCUCUGGAGAUGAAGGGUGGUGAUGGUUGCAUAACAAUGUGAAUGUACUUAAGGUCACUGACCUGU
Canis lupus familiaris (dog) is the source of this 2411-nucleotide long non-coding RNA. RefSeq lists it as uncharacterized. The transcript has 5 exons. Lineage: Eukaryota; Metazoa; Chordata; Mammalia; Carnivora; Canidae. The record is from RefSeq and is a predicted model, not a curated record.